GCAAGUCGAACGAUGAAGCCUAGCUUGCUGGGUGGAUUAGUGGCGAACGGGUGAGUAACACGUGAGCAACCUGCCCCUGACUCUGGGAUAAGCGCUGGAAACGGCGUCUAAUACUGGAUACGAACAAGAAUCGCAUGGUUACUUGUUGGAAAGAUUUUUUGGUUGGGGAUGGGCUCGCGGCCUAUCAGCUUGUUGGUGAGGUAAUGGCUCACCAAGGCGUCGACGGGUAGCCGGCCUGAGAGGGUGACCGGCCACACUGGGACUGAGACACGGCCCAGACUCCUACGGGAGGCAGCAGUGGGGAAUAUUGCACAAUGGGCGGAAGCCUGAUGCAGCAACGCCGCGUGAGGGAUGACGGCCUUCGGGUUGUAAACCUCUUUUAGCAGGGAAGAAGCGAGAGUGACGGUACCUGCAGAAAAAGCGCCGGCUAACUACGUGCCAGCAGCCGCGGUAAUACGUAGGGCGCAAGCGUUAUCCGGAAUUAUUGGGCGUAAAGAGCUCGUAGGCGGUUUGUCGCGUCUGCUGUGAAAUCCCGAGGCUCAACCUCGGGCCUGCAGUGGGUACGGGCAGACUAGAGUGCGGUAGGGGAGAUUGGAAUUCCUGGUGUAGCGGUGGAAUGCGCAGAUAUCAGGAGGAACACCGAUGGCGAAGGCAGAUCUCUGGGCCGUAACUGACGCUGAGGAGCG
This 686-nucleotide ribosomal RNA is filed under the name Microbacterium sp. Y64. RNAcentral describes it as "bacterial SSU rRNA". It matches the Rfam family "Bacterial small subunit ribosomal RNA", at positions 57 to 755 of the family's 1533-position model. The record is from RNAcentral. Lineage: Bacteria; Bacillati; Actinomycetota; Actinomycetes; Micrococcales; Microbacteriaceae.